CCGUAACUAUAACGGUCCUAAGGUAGCGAAAUUCCUUGUCGGGUAAGUUCCGACCCGCACGAAAGGCGUAACGAUUUGGGCACUGUCUCAACGAGAGACUCGGUGAAAUCAUAGUACCUGUGAAGAUGCAGGUUACCCGCGACAGGACGGAAAGACCCCGUGGAGCUUUACUGUAGCCUGAUAUUGAAAUUCGGCACAGCUUGUACAGGAUAGGUAGGAGCCUUUGAAACGUGAGCGCUAGCUUACGUGGAGGCGCUGGUGGGAUACUACCCUAGCUGUGUUGGCUUUCUAACCCGCACCACUUAUCGUGGUGGGAGACAGUGUCAGGCGGGCAGUUUGACUGGGGCGGUCGCCUCCUAAAAGGUAACGGAGGCGCUCAAAGGUUCCCUCAGAAUGGUUGGAAAUCAUUCAUAGAGUGUAAAGGCAUAAGGGAGCUUGACUGCGAGACCUACAAGUCGAGCAGGGUCGAAAGACGGACUUAGUGAUCCGGUGGUUCCGCAUGGAAGGGCCAUCGCUCAACGGAUAAAAGCUACCCCGGGGAUAACAGGCUUAUCUCCCCCAAGAGUUCACAUCGACGGGGAGGUUUGGCACCUCGAUGUCGGCUCAUCGCAUCCUGGGGCUGAAGUAGGUCCCAAGGGUUGGGCUGUUCGCCCAUUAAAGCGGUACGCGAGCUGGGUUCAGAACGUCGUGAGACAGUUCGGUCCCUAUCUGUCGUGGGCGUAGGAAAUUUGAGAGGAGCUGUCCUUAGUACGAGAGGACCGGGAUGGACAUACCUCUGGUGUACCAGUUGUCGUGCCAACGGCAUAGCUGGGUAGCUAUGUGUGGACGGGAUAAGUGCUGAAAGCAUCUAAGCAUGAAGCCCCCCUCAAGAUGAGAUUUCCCAACUUCGGUUAUAAGAUCCCUCAAAGAUGAUGAGGUUAAUAGGUUCGAGGUGGAAGCAUGGUGACAUGUGGAGCUGACGAAUACUAAUCGAUCGAAGACUUAAUCAA
RNAcentral lists this ribosomal RNA (989 nucleotides) under Staphylococcus aureus. Its description in RNAcentral is "partial 23S ribosomal RNA". It matches the Rfam family "Bacterial large subunit ribosomal RNA", at positions 1934 to 2925 of the family's 2925-position model. Lineage: Bacteria; Bacillati; Bacillota; Bacilli; Caryophanales; Staphylococcaceae. The record is from RNAcentral.